CACGUGGGAACGUGCCUUUUGGUUCGGAAUAACCCGGGGAAACUCGGACUAAUACCGGAUAAGCCCUUACGGGGAAAGAUUUAUCGCCAAAAGAUCGGCCCGCGUCUGAUUAGCUAGUUGGUGAGGUAACGGCUCACCAAGGCGACGAUCAGUAGCUGGUCUGAGAGGAUGAUCAGCCACACUGGGACUGAGACACGGCCCAG
RNAcentral lists this ribosomal RNA (203 nucleotides) under uncultured bacterium. Its description in RNAcentral is "partial 16S ribosomal RNA". It matches the Rfam family "Bacterial small subunit ribosomal RNA", at positions 114 to 334 of the family's 1533-position model. The record is from RNAcentral.